GGACGAACGCUGGCGGCGUGCUUAACACAUGCAAGUCGAGCGAGGUCCAACCGGUGGCAACACCGGGGAAGACCUAGCGGCGAACGGGUGAGUAACACGUGAGAAACCUGCCCGAAGUCCGGGAUAACCCGGGGAAACCCGAGCUAAUACCCGGAUACCCCCUUUCUGGUCGCAUGGCCGGUUGUGGAAAGAAUUUUGCUUCGGGAGGGUCUCGCGGCCUAUCAGCUUGUUGGUGGGGUAACGGCCCACCAAGGCAUCGACGGGUAGCUGGUCUGAGAGGACGAUCAGCCACACUGGGACUGAGACACGGCCCAGACUCCUACGGGAGGCAGCAGUGGGGGAAUCUUGCGCAAUGGGCGAAAGCCUGACGCAGCAACGCCGCGUGCGGGAUGAAGGCCUUCGGGUUGUAAACCGCUUUCAGUAGGGACGAAAUUGACGGUACCUACAGAAGAAGCCCCGGCCAACUACGUG
Molecule: ribosomal RNA, 471 nt
Filed under: uncultured bacterium
Lineage: Bacteria
Description: bacterial SSU rRNA
Rfam family: Bacterial small subunit ribosomal RNA
Source: RNAcentral